This 253-nucleotide ribosomal RNA is filed under the name uncultured bacterium. RNAcentral's name for it is "partial 16S ribosomal RNA". It matches the Rfam family "Bacterial small subunit ribosomal RNA", at positions 524 to 776 of the family's 1533-position model. The record is from RNAcentral.
GACGAACCGAGCGAACGUUGUUCGGAAUCACUGGGCUUAAAGGGCGCGUAGGCGGGUCAGCAAGUCCGGGGUGAAAUCUUUCGGCUCAACCGGAAAAGUGCCUUGGAUACUGCUGGUCUGGAGGGAGGUAGGGGCAGCUGGAACUUCCGGUGGAGCGGUGAAAUGCGUUGAUAUCGGAAGGAACUCCGGUGGCGAAGGCGAGCUGCUGGACCUCUUCUGACGCUGAGGCGCGAAAGCUAGGGGAGCAAACGGG